AGUCACUGACAUUAGAUACCCCGGUAGUCCAGGGUGUAAACGCUGCAGACUUGGUGUUGGAAGCCCUUUGGGGGCAUUCAGUGCCGGAGAGAAGUUGUUAAGUCUGCUACUUGGGGAGUACGUCCGCAAGGAUGAAACUUAAAGGAAUUGGCGGGGAGCACCGCAACGGGAGGAGCGUGCGGUUUAAUUGGAUUCAACACCGUAAACUCACCAGGGAAGACUGUUACAUGAAGGCCGAGAUGAAGACUCUGCUAGAUUUUCAG
RNAcentral lists this ribosomal RNA (263 nucleotides) under uncultured archaeon. RNAcentral's name for it is "partial 16S ribosomal RNA". It matches the Rfam family "Archaeal small subunit ribosomal RNA", at positions 718 to 982 of the family's 1478-position model. The record is from RNAcentral.